Molecule: non-coding RNA, 69 nt
Organism: Ictidomys tridecemlineatus (thirteen-lined ground squirrel)
Lineage: Eukaryota; Metazoa; Chordata; Mammalia; Rodentia; Sciuridae
Source: Rfam
GGAGUUGUGGCUCAGUGGCAAAGCACUUGCCUUGCAAGUAUGAGGCACUGUGUUUGAUCCUCAGCACCA